GAUGAACGCUGGCGGCGUGCCUAAUACAUGCCAGUCGAGCGAACAGACGAGGAGCUUGCUCCUCUGACGUUAGCGGCGGACGGGUGAGUAACACGUGGAUAACCUACCUAUAAGACUGGGAUAACUUCGGGAAACCGGAGCUAAUACCGGAUAAUAUAUUUAACCGCAUGGUUCAAUAGUGAAAGACGGUUUUGCUGUCACUUAUAGAUGUAUCCGCGCCGCAUUAGCUAGUUGGUAAGGUAACGGCUUACCAAGGCAACGAUGCGUAGCCGACCUGAGAGGGUGAUCGGCCACACUGGAACUGAGACACGGUCCAGACUCCUACGGGAGGCAGCAGUAGGGAAUCUUCCGCAAUGGGCGAAAGCUUGACGGAGCAACGCCGCGUGAGUGAUGAAGGUCUUCGGAUCGUAAAACUCUGUUAUUAGGGAAGAACAAAUGUGUAAGUAACUAUGCACGUCUUGACGGUACCUAAUCAGAAAGCCACGGCUAACUACGUG
This 497-nucleotide ribosomal RNA is filed under the name uncultured bacterium. Its description in RNAcentral is "partial 16S ribosomal RNA". It matches the Rfam family "Bacterial small subunit ribosomal RNA", at positions 28 to 507 of the family's 1533-position model. The record is from RNAcentral.